RNAcentral lists this ribosomal RNA (324 nucleotides) under uncultured eukaryote. Its description in RNAcentral is "partial 18S ribosomal RNA". It matches the Rfam family "Eukaryotic small subunit ribosomal RNA", at positions 1470 to 1796 of the family's 1831-position model. The record is from RNAcentral.
CCCUUAGAUGUUCUGGGCUGCACACGCGAUACACUGAAGCUAUCAACACGUUUUCCCUCCCUGAGAAGGGCGGGUAACCUUUUGAAUCAGCUUCGUGGUAGGGAUCGGGGCUUGCAAUUGUUCCCCGUGAACCAGGAAUUCCUAGUAGACGCGAGUCAUAAGCUCGCAUCGAUUAAGUCCCUGCCCUUUGUACACACCGCCCGUCGCUACUACCGAUUGAACGUUUUAGUGAGGCAUUUGGACCGACGCAUCUCAGUUUAACCGCUGGUUUGUGUUGGAAAGACUUCCAAACUUGAGCGUUUAGAGGAAGUAAAAGUCGUAACA